UUCAUGUAAAUCCAAGUUGACAACGAAGGCCAAUUGGCGGUUCAGCUGACUUCAAAGUGUGAUCUUUUAUCGAUAAUUCAUAUUCAGACAGAUAAUAGUAUUCCGUUUAUCCCUCAACGACAAGUGAAGACAGCAUUCCUUUAUUUGGUUCAACGACGUCUUAGUUAUUGCCGUUGACAUCAAGCUGAUGGCAUUAGCUUAGAAAGAAGCUCAGUAAAGGGUGGCUUCCAGGAAACAGGAAGGUUAAUAAAUUGCAUUAAAUCACGUGGAUGGCAAAGUUUCAAGCUAAAAAGACCAUUGGUGCACCAUUUCAAAUAGAAUGUCAAUCUUCUUUCAUUAAGGCAGGCAAGCUACCCAUGGCUCAAAGACUGAAAUGUGAGCAAGUUUUUGACAGACAAGUUUUUUGAAGAUUUGAAGACAAAUCGUUUUCAAUGACAAAAAGGAUAGGUUUGACCCAGGUUGAUAUUGGUCGAAUCAGUGAGUCCAAGGUGUCUUCUGAGCCUAUCGGCGUUUGCAACCAGCAUAACUCUAUUCACCAGCGGCAAACUUAGAUAUGGAAAAUUCCAAUACAAGAGGUAUUAUUGACAGCAUAAACAUCAGCUAUCCUAUACAUUAUGAACAUUCAAACAAUAAGUAAACAGUCAAAUAAAAUGUU
Long non-coding RNA from Varroa destructor (honeybee mite), 655 nucleotides. RefSeq lists it as uncharacterized. The record is from RefSeq and is a predicted model, not a curated record. Lineage: Eukaryota; Metazoa; Arthropoda; Arachnida; Mesostigmata; Varroidae.